AAAGUGCGAAAAGUGUCAUGACUUGCAGAUUCCCGAGAGCUGACAAAUCUCUGAAUGCAAAUGGCAGUCGCGUUAGACCCGACUAUGUAUUGUAGAGUGUAGAUGCUCCAGCUAUUCAUCAUAUCUCUCUCUGUUUCUAUUGUGACAGACAGAUGAUGUGGACCUGCGCUUGCGAUCGAGAGAGACAUACAUAGUCUGUCUGUCUCACUCUUUCGCGAGUGUGAAAAGAAAAGGUCUACGACAGUAAUCUAUGUCUUCUUCAUCGGAGAGAUAGAGGAUGUCGUGCACCGAUGAGAAUAUGAGUUUCAUAGACACAUCGGAUGCUCCGUUAAGGACCAUAAUACUAUUCAUUUUCAAUGAGCCACCUCUACAAUGCAUGAAAACCCGCUGAACUUAA
Molecule: unclassified non-coding RNA, 397 nt
Filed under: uncultured fungus
Lineage: Eukaryota; Fungi
Description: sequence contains ITS1
Rfam family: 5.8S ribosomal RNA (bases 1-102)
Source: RNAcentral